AAGUCGUAACAAGGUCUCCGUAGGUGAACCUGCGGAGGGAUCAUUACUGAGUUCGGGGGCAAUCCCAGUCCCGACCUCCAACCCUUUGUUGUUAAAACUACCUUGUUGCUUUGGCGGGACCGCUCGGUCUUGAGCCGCUGGGGAUUCGUCCCAGGCGAGCGCCCGCCAGAGUUAAACCAAACUCUUGUUAUUUAACCGGUCGUCUGAGUUAAAAUUUUGAAUAAAUCAAAA
This 231-nucleotide unclassified non-coding RNA is filed under the name plant metagenome. RNAcentral's name for it is "partial contains small subunit ribosomal RNA and internal transcribed spacer 1". The stretch from base 1 to 46 matches the Rfam family "Eukaryotic small subunit ribosomal RNA", at positions 1786 to 1831 of the family's 1831-position model. The record is from RNAcentral.